Molecule: ribosomal RNA, 1179 nt
Filed under: metagenome
Description: SSU rRNA
Rfam family: Eukaryotic small subunit ribosomal RNA
Source: RNAcentral
UCUGGUGCCAGCAGCCGCGGUAAUUCCAGCUCUGAUAGUAUAUAUUAAAGUUGUUGCAGUUAAAAAGCUCGUAGUUGAAACUUGGGUGUGUAGGGGCGGUCUCUUUUAGAGUACUACCCUGAAACAUCUUUCUUUGGUGUAAACUCUUUAUUCACUUAAGGAGUGUAAACCAAACAUUUACUUUGAAAAAAUUAGAGUGUUCAAAGCAGGCCUUUGCUCGAAUAUAUUAGCAUGGAAUAAUAGAAUAGGACGUAUGGUUCUAUUUUGUUGGUUUCUAGGACCGUCGUAAUGAUUAAUAGGGACGGUCGGGGGCAUCAGUAUUCAGUUGUCAGAGGUGAAAUUCUUGGAUUUACUGAAGACUAACUACUGCGAAAGCAUUUGCCAAGGACGUUUUCAUUAAUCAAGAACGAAAGUUAGGGGAUCGAAGACGAUCAGAUACCGUCGUAGUCUUAACCGUAAACUAUGCCGACUAGGGAUCGGAGGGCGUUAUAAUAACCUCUCCGGCACCUUACGAGAAAUCAAAGUUUUUGGGUUCUGGGGGGAGUAUGGUUGCAAGGCUGAAACUUAAAGGAAUUGACGGAAGGGCACCACCAGGAGUGGAGCCUGCGGCUUAAUUUGACCCAACACGGGGAAACUCACCAGGUCCAGACACAAUAAGGAUUGACAGAUUGAGAGCUCUUUCAUGAUUUUGUGGGUGGUGGUGCAUGGCCGUUCUUAGUUGGUGGAGUGAUUUGUCUGCUUAAUUGCGAUAACGAACGAGACCUUAACCUGCUAAAUAGCUGUAACAAUAGAUUAUUGUUUUGACAGCUUCUUAGAGGGACUAUCGAUUUUCAAGUCGAUGGAAGUUUGAGGCAAUAACAGGUCUGUGAUGCCCUUAGACGUUCUGGGCCGCACGCGCGCUACACUGACGGAGCCAGCGAGUCUAACCUGUGCCGAGAGGUAUGGGUAAUCUUGUGAAACUCCGUCGUGCUGGGGAUAGAGCAUUGCAAUUAUUGCUCUUCAACGAGGAAUUCCUAGUAAGCGCAAGUCAUCAGCUUGCGUUGAUUACGUCCCUGCCCUUUGUACACACCGCCCGUCGCUACUACCGAUUGAAUGGCUUAGUGAGGCUUCCGGAUUGAUUAACUGGAGAGGGCAACUUUUCUGGUUGAACGAGAAGCUAGUCAAACUUGGUCAUUUAGA